AGCGAACGCUGGCGACAGGCCUAACACAUGCAAGUCGAACGAACUCUUCGGAGUUAGUGGCGGACGGGUGAGUAACACGUGGGAACGUGCCUUUUGGUUCGGAAUAACUCAGGGAAACUUGUGCUAAUACCGAAUGUGCCCUUCGGGGGAAAGAUUUAUCGCCAUUAGAGCGGCCCGCGUCUGAUUAGCUAGUUGGUGAGGUAACGGCUCACCAAGGCGACGAUCAGUAGCUGGUCUGAGAGGAUGACCAGCCACACUGGGACUGAGACACGGCCCAGACUCCUACGGGAGGCAGCAGUGGGGAAUCUUGCGCAAUGGGCGAAAGCCUGACGCAGCCAUGCCGCGUGAAUGAUGAAGGUCUUAGGAUUGUAAAAUUCUUUCACCGGGGACGAUAAUGACGGUACCCGGAGAAGAAGCCCCGGCUAACUUCGUG
RNAcentral lists this ribosomal RNA (433 nucleotides) under uncultured bacterium. RNAcentral's name for it is "partial 16S ribosomal RNA". It matches the Rfam family "Bacterial small subunit ribosomal RNA", at positions 29 to 507 of the family's 1533-position model. The record is from RNAcentral.